AACCCAUGAUUUGGGCAUUUUCUCAAUAAAAACUUAUAUCUCUCCCAAGCUUCACACAAAGGCUCAUCAAUGCCUUGAGAGAAAGUUGCAAUUGCUGAUUUGGUGCU
This is a non-coding RNA of Cajanus cajan (pigeon pea), 107 nucleotides long. The record is from Rfam. NCBI's taxonomy places the organism in Eukaryota, Viridiplantae, Streptophyta, Magnoliopsida, Fabales, Fabaceae.